ACUAGCGAGCUUAAGAUCUACAACGCGAACUUACGACGCGGACGUCGCAUUAAACAAGUUUUAUUUUAAAACGAUGGCAAAUUCCAUUAAAAUAUUUGUAUCACAGUAAAUAAAAUGAAAUUAUACUGGAAAAAAUGUACAACAUAACAGAGGCUAGCAAUAUAUUAAGAAGAUAUUUUUUAUCAUAAGUUUUUACGACUUCUAUGACGACGAAUCUUUGCAAAUAUCACGUCGUCUCGGAUGGUAGUUUUGGCGGGAAAAUGUGCAUUCGUAACAAUAGUCUAUAAAGCCUGGUUUCUAUCAUUUCAUAUGGCUGUUAACGUGUCAUCACAGUGUCACAAAUCUCAAAGAAAUAAACUCUGACAACUCUGACUAGGCUUACACGCGAAAACUAGGCUUCGGUAAGCACGUCCGCGUCACAAAUUCGCGUUGUAGAUCUUAAGCUCCCUAAUGUCUC
RNAcentral lists this long non-coding RNA (457 nucleotides) under Paramuricea clavata. Lineage: Eukaryota; Metazoa; Cnidaria; Anthozoa; Malacalcyonacea; Plexauridae. The record is from RNAcentral.